GGGUUGUGAGGUUAAGCGACUAAGCGUACACGGUGGAUGCCCUGGCAGUCAGAGGCGAUGAAGGACGUGCUAAUCUGCGAUAAGCGUCGGUAAGGUGAUAUGAACCGUUAUAACCGGCGAUUUCCGAAUGGGGAAACCCAGUGUGUUUCGACACACUAUCAUUAACUGAAUCCAUAGGUUAAUGAGGCGAACCGGGGGAACUGAAACAUCUAAGUACCCCGAGGAAAAGAAAUCAACCGAGAUUCCCCCAGUAGCGGCGAGCGAACGGGGAGCAGCCCAGAGCCUGAAUCAGUGUGUGUGUUAGUGGAAGCGUCUGGAAAGGCGCGCGAUACAGGGUGACAGCCCCGUACACAAAAAUGCACAUAUUGUGAGCUCGAUGAGUAGGGCGGGACACGUGGUAUCCUGUCUGAAUAUGGGGGGACCAUCCUCCAAGGCUAAAUACUCCUGACUGACCGAUAGUGAACCAGUACCGUGAGGGAAAGGCGAAAAGAACCCCGGCGAGGGGAGUGAAAAAGAACCUGAAACCGUGUACGUACAAGCAGUGGGAGCACGCUUAGGCGUGUGACUGCGUACCUUUUGUAUAAUGGGUCAGCGACUUAUAUUCUGUAGCAAGGUUAACCGAAUAGGGGAGCCGAAGGGAAACCGAGUCUUAACUGGGCGUUAAGUUGCAGGGUAUAGACCCGAAACCCGGUGAUCUAGCCAUGGGCAGGUUGAAGGUUGGGUAACACUAACUGGAGGACCGAACCGACUAAUGUUGAAAAAUUAGCGGAUGACUUGUGGCUGGGGGUGAAAGGCCAAUCAAACCGGGAGAUAGCUGGUUCUCCCCGAAAGCUAUUUAGGUAGCGCCUCGUGAAUUCAUCUCCGGGGGUAGAGCACUGUUUCGGCAAGGGGGUCAUCCCGACUUACCAACCCGAUGCAAACUGCGAAUACCGGAGAAUGUUAUCACGGGAGACACACGGCGGGUGCUAACGUCCGUCGUGAAGAGGGAAACAACCCAGACCGCCAGCUAAGGUCCCAAAGUCAUGGUUAAGUGGGAAACGAUGUGGGAAGGCCCAGACAGCCAGGAUGUUGGCUUAGAAGCAGCCAUCAUUUAAAGAAAGCGUAAUAGCUCACUGGUCGAGUCGGCCUGCGCGGAAGAUGUAACGGGGCUAAACCAUGCACCGAAGCUGCGGCAGCGACACUGUGUGUUGUUGGGUAGGGGAGCGUUCUGUAAGCCUGUGAAGGUGUGCUGUGAGGCAUGCUGGAGGUAUCAGAAGUGCGAAUGCUGACAUAAGUAACGAUAAAGCGGGUGAAAAGCCCGCUCGCCGGAAGACCAAGGGUUCCUGUCCAACGUUAAUCGGGGCAGGGUGAGUCGACCCCUAAGGCGAGGCCGAAAGGCGUAGUCGAUGGGAAACAGGUUAAUAUUCCUGUACUUGGUGUUACUGCGAAGGGGGGACGGAGAAGGCUAUGUUGGCCGGGCGACGGUUGUCCCGGUUUAAGCGUGUAGGCUGGUUUUCCAGGCAAAUCCGGAAAAUCAAGGCUGAGGCGUGAUGACGAGGCACUACGGUGCUGAAGCAACAAAUGCCCUGCUUCCAGGAAAAGCCUCUAAGCAUCAGGUAACAUCAAAUCGUACCCCAAACCGACACAGGUGGUCAGGUAGAGAAUACCAAGGCGCUUGAGAGAACUCGGGUGAAGGAACUAGGCAAAAUGGUGCCGUAACUUCGGGAGAAGGCACGCUGAUAUGUAGGUGAAGUCCCUUGCGGAUGGAGCUGAAAUCAGUCGAAGAUACCAGCUGGCUGCAACUGUUUAUUAAAAACACAGCACUGUGCAAACACGAAAGUGGACGUAUACGGUGUGACGCCUGCCCGGUGCCGGAAGGUUAAUUGAUGGGGUCAGCGCAAGCGAAGCUCUUGAUCGAAGCCCCGGUAAACGGCGGCCGUAACUAUAACGGUCCUAAGGUAGCGAAAUUCCUUGUCGGGUAAGUUCCGACCUGCACGAAUGGCGUAAUGAUGGCCAGGCUGUCUCCACCCGAGACUCAGUGAAAUUGAACUCGCUGUGAAGAUGCAGUGUACCCGCGGCAAGACGGAAAGACCCCGUGAACCUUUACUAUAGCUUGACACUGAACAUUGAGCCUUGAUGUGUAGGAUAGGUGGGAGGCUUAGAAGUGUGGACGCCAGUCUGCAUGGAGCCGACCUUGAAAUACCACCCUUUAAUGUUUGAUGUUCUAACGUUGACCCGUAAUCCGGGUUGCGGACAGUGUCUGGUGGGUAGUUUGACUGGGGCGGUCUCCUCCUAAAGAGUAACGGAGGAGCACGAAGGUUGGCUAAUCCUGGUCGGACAUCAGGAGGUUAGUGCAAUGGCAUAAGCCAGCUUGACUGCGAGCGUGACGGCGCGAGCAGGUGCGAAAGCAGGUCAUAGUGAUCCGGUGGUUCUGAAUGGAAGGGCCAUCGCUCAACGGAUAAAAGGUACUCCGGGGAUAACAGGCUGAUACCGCCCAAGAGUUCAUAUCGACGGCGGUGUUUGGCACCUCGAUGUCGGCUCAUCACAUCCUGGGGCUGAAGUAGGUCCCAAGGGUAUGGCUGUUCGCCAUUUAAAGUGGUACGCGAGCUGGGUUUAGAACGUCGUGAGACAGUUCGGUCCCUAUCUGCCGUGGGCGCUGGAGAACUGAGGGGGGCUGCUCCUAGUACGAGAGGACCGGAGUGGACGCAUCACUGGUGUUCGGGUUGUCAUGCCAAUGGCACUGCCCGGUAGCUAAAUGCGGAAGAGAUAAGUGCUGAAAGCAUCUAAGCACGAAACUUGCCCCGAGAUGAGUUCUCCCUGACCCUUUAAGGGUCCUGAAGGAACGUUGAAGACGACGACGUUGAUAGGCCGGGUGUGUAAGCGCAGCGAUGCGUUGAGCUAACCGGUACUAAUGAACCGUGAGGCUUAACCUUACAACGCCGAAG
Molecule: ribosomal RNA, 2924 nt
Filed under: Escherichia coli
Lineage: Bacteria; Pseudomonadati; Pseudomonadota; Gammaproteobacteria; Enterobacterales; Enterobacteriaceae
Description: bacterial LSU rRNA
Rfam family: Bacterial large subunit ribosomal RNA
Source: RNAcentral